ACCUCCAGGGAGACCCAUUGUUUCCAGUUCCAAUUCCAUUCUGGAACCCCUUGCCAUCUAUGUGGAUUCAUUUUUGAAACCGUUUGUGUUCAAAACAAAAUCAUAUAUUCGGGAUACUAAGGACCUCAUCAGACAGUUAGAAGGGGUCAGUAUUCCUCAAGGAUCCCUUAUAGCAACGCUGGAUGUUUCCUCUUUGUAUACCAGCAUACCUUUAGAGGAGGCCAGAAUGGUUGUAGAGAGAAUAUUGGAAACCAGGUACAAUAAGGAUCCUCCCACAUAUUUUCUGUUGGAACUAGUGGACCUCAUUUUGGAUAAGAAUUACUUUAGGUUUGAGGACCAAUUUUAUUUUCAAAUCAAGGGUGUUGCUAUGGGCAGUUCUGUAGCCCCAAUGUGGCCAAUCUGUUUAUGUCUGCUUUGGAAGAUACAUUUAUCUGGAAUGAGACAGCUAACCCGUUUUUUGCUGGGAUUUUCAUACAGUGUGUGACUGAAUGAUGGCUUGUCGGUGAGAGUAUUUAACUCCUGUUUCAAGCACCAUUCAUCAAGGAACGUAGCUUGUCUAAGCAGGCAUGUUGGUGAGGUGCCGCAUUUAGGACAAGGCUUUUCCAGACUGAAGAUUUGUAGACUUCUGAUGAAGAUUCUUAUGAAACAGUUCAUUACCUAGGAUGUCUGUCAGCUCUACUUUCAAGAUCACUGUGCUUGGAUUCAGACUCCAGCUUCAUCUUCAAGAUUUUCAUGCUUCAGAUUCCAGCUUCUUUUGCAAGAUUUUUGUGCUCAGCCUUUAGGCGAAGGGUUGCUGGGGUGGAGUGCUACACUUCGCUUGGUUUAUGACCACAUUUCAACAUAGCAGCACCACCUUCGUGCACGAUGAACUUCAGUGACUGCGGCUUAUUGUACUUGUUAUAUUGUAUGGAGCAUGUACAGCCCUCAUUACUGUAUUUAUCAUACUUAUCACAGGGGUACCUGUGAUUUAUUGCCAUUACAUUUCUAUUCUUUCACCA
Molecule: long non-coding RNA, 998 nt
Organism: Hemicordylus capensis (graceful crag lizard)
Lineage: Eukaryota; Metazoa; Chordata; Lepidosauria; Squamata; Cordylidae
Exons: 3
Source: RefSeq, a predicted model, not a curated record